This 253-nucleotide ribosomal RNA is filed under the name uncultured bacterium. Its description in RNAcentral is "partial 16S ribosomal RNA". It matches the Rfam family "Bacterial small subunit ribosomal RNA", at positions 524 to 776 of the family's 1533-position model. The record is from RNAcentral.
UACGUAGGGUGCGAGCGUUGUCCGGAAUUAUUGGGCGUAAAGGGCUCGUGGGCGGUUUGUCGCGUCGGGAGUGAAAACCUCGGGCUUAACUCGGGGCUUGCUUUCGAUACGGGCAGACUGGAGGUAUGCAGGGGAGAACGGAAUUCCUGGUGUAGCGGUGAAAUGCGCAGAUAUCAGGAGGAACACCGGUGGCGAAGGCGGUUCUCUGGGCAUGACCUGACGCUGAGGAGCGAAAGUGUGGGGAGCGAACAGG